AACCAUGCACACCCCUAACUAUGCCGUGAUUCAGUCUCAAACCUCAGGGUUAUUGGCGCUCGAUCUCCUAUCAACCUACUGGUGAUAAGAAAAGAAUAAACGGUGAAGUUCAGAAUUCCUACCGGAGUUUUUUGACAGUGACGACGGCGACGAAGUUUCAGGUGUGUGGUGAAAAGACGAAGAACCCCGUUGAUCAGUUGGGUGCAUGUAGCGGCGGCGUUCAAGUGAUUCUCUUCCUUUCACAGAAACAGGUGAAGACCUCUCGAACAUCAUAGAACUAGGAUCAUAGAGCCCUCUCUGGUUCUGCUCAGGAUGAUUCCUUCCCAGAAAAUUCAGUUGCUCCUCUUGUGCCACAAGCCUCUAUUGUUAUUCAUGGAUUUCUGAGACGUUGAAUCCAGCUGAAUGACCCAGUUGGUGGUUUGAUGGAUUUCUAGCUAACUGUCUCGUUUCAUUGGUUGGCCACGACCUACCGAAAUGCCUUUCUCCAUCCAGCCCCAGCUGCUGACUAAGAGCCAUAGAUAACUGCUGAGCUUGCACCUGCUCUUGCUGAAAACGAACAUGUUAUUCUGAUGAUAAUAUAUUUCCAUGGCUUGCUUGCAACAAGAGAUCUAACAAAUCAACAUGCCUUCCUUGCACAGCACUAAGGGCCGUAUUGUUUGGAUAAACUACUCUGUCGAUGGAUCAAGGUACCCUGAAGAACGUGAAUUCUGCUGCAAGUCAUACAGAUACCUCCUCAAUUGCACCUGGUCUAACAAGUUAUCUCUAGAAGGAUUAAGUUUAGAUUGUCCAUGCAUUAAGUGUUCAGGAACAUCUCGAUGCGUUAACUGAGCUUGAGACUGUUGUUGGAGCUGAAGUGUCAAUUGUUGGUGAAGUAAAGUUUUUCUCAAAUACUGACUUUGAAUUGGCAAGAACACCUGAUUUGGAUGAAAUCCACCUAUACAGGGACACCGCUGAUAGCCACUUUGUAGCAACUGAAAUAUUAUGCCGCCACUCAUGCUCACACUGCCAACAGCUAGUGACCAGUACAAAUUUAGCUGGCUCUUGAGACGGAUGAGUCCAAAUAGCUACCCUCUCAUGGAAAUUUUCUAUCAAUAAUGCACGGGGGAUAACAGACAGGGGACUAUUUAAUAAACUGGAUGGGAUCACGAGGAGAAUCUGAUAUGACAUCGAAUACUGCACAUUCAGUUGGCCUCUCUGGGAUCACAAUAUGCACAUGAAUCCAAAAUGAUGGACUUAGAAUUGAGCUUGGAUCACUGAUGCAAGCUUCAGAAGCAUAAGAUAUGGCAUUCAUUAUUCCACACCAAGCAACGACACUGAAAUAGCGACAAAUCUGAGGAAAAUCCAUCUUGUGAAGUAAAUAGACGCCUGGCUAUUCAAGGCAAAUUUGAAAAACGGUGGCGGGGGUUUUCGGGAAUGAGUAUUGUUAUUGCUCUUGCUGUCAGGAGCUUGCUUUUGUAUCUUUAGCAAUGCCGUUUUGAUGCGUUUUAUUUGGUAAAUCUUUCAGGCUGCGUCUUGGGCCCGUGUUCUGCUAUAAAGCGCUACAUUUUGCUGCUGGAUUUUGUAUCGACUUUAACCACGUUUGGAAUCCUGGAGGUGAAUUCGAUGGCUUGUGUUUGGGACGCCAUAACUGGUGUGUUACUUCACGUUUCAGCUUAUGGCUCAUUUAUAUAUACUUUGUUUAUUUAACCAUGUACAUGAAAGAAAAGAAAUGGAUAAUAGAAUUGGUCCACAUUUCAUGUACUGCAUUUGGAUUGCUGCAGCUUUUGGCUCAUGUAACUUGUAGCUACGUUUUACUCA
Long non-coding RNA from Lathyrus oleraceus (garden pea), 1797 nucleotides. RefSeq lists it as uncharacterized. The record is from RefSeq and is a predicted model, not a curated record. The transcript has 2 exons. Lineage: Eukaryota; Viridiplantae; Streptophyta; Magnoliopsida; Fabales; Fabaceae.